This 456-nucleotide long non-coding RNA is filed under the name Vigna radiata. RNAcentral's name for it is "long non-coding RNA (VRAD_LNC016366)". Lineage: Eukaryota; Viridiplantae; Streptophyta; Magnoliopsida; Fabales; Fabaceae. The record is from RNAcentral.
GGGACGAACUUAACUGUAUGUGUUGAAAAGGUUCAAGUUUGGGGUUGUAUGGGGGAAAUUGAAGGGCAAGUGAAAAGCAUUGAGCUCAAAUGUUGUGAAAAGAAAAAUUCAUGAGAAAAAGAAAAGAAAAAAAGAAAAGCAUGAAGAUGAGCUCAAUGAAAAAGAAAAGGGGAAAAAGUUGGGAAUGAGUGAGAUUGGUGAGGAAGAGAGUUGUGCUUAAAUUUAGAAUAUCAUGGUAGCUCUUUUAACUCAAGGAAUUCCAGAAAAACCAAUUUUUCUUGUUAGCCCAACCUCAUUACAAGCCUUGAAAAAGUCCUUUUGAUGACAUUUGCAUGUAAAGAUGUUGAUUGUUUGAGAUGAAUGGCAAUUUUGUUUCAUGUGACUUGUGAACAAUAGAGAGUGGAGUGUUACCUUAAACACUUGAGUGAUUGAGUGAAACACUUGCUUGAUUUGAAU